This is a long non-coding RNA of Haliotis rubra (blacklip abalone), 513 nucleotides long. RefSeq lists it as uncharacterized. Lineage: Eukaryota; Metazoa; Mollusca; Gastropoda; Lepetellida; Haliotidae. The record is from RefSeq and is a predicted model, not a curated record. The transcript is spliced from 3 exons.
UCAAUAGGUGAAGGCUCUGGUGAAUAUAAGUGGUGCCCCAGUGUAUUCACUUGAUGAUUUAAACAAGUCUGGAAGAUGUUUUCGGAAAGGGUUUAAGUUAAAUGAAAGUAAACUGAUACAUACGGAUGAAGGUGUUUCUAUAAAAGACAGCGGUCCCUAUGACACUGAAAUAAUUCCGGCCUGGACGAAUAAUGCCAAGAUCUUGUACUUGUGUGGAGAAGAUGAUGCCGUGUGGAGAACAGACUUUGCUAAUACAUUUAUUGAGACAUGUCCUGAAGAGAAGAGGAAGAACACUGAGCUCAUUAUCUAUCCUGGAGCAGGACAUCUCAUCGAGCCACCAUAUAUGCCUGUGUCUACAUCCAUGUACAACAAAACCUUCGAUGAGUAUUACAAAGGGGAUAAUGUCAGUUAUCUGUAUAUUAUCAAAUCCACCCAAGCAAUCCAGUUUUGCCCGCAUCAACAUGUUCCACGCAAUUACAGUCCGUUUGAGUCAGAAACGGACCGAUGAAUUGC